ACGUUCGGGUAAUCGCUGCAUUCAUUUGAAUGUAGAGGAAAGUCCAUGCUCGCACGGUCUGAAAUGUCCGUAGUGUUCGUGCCUAGCGAAGUCAUAAGCUAGGGUAUUCUGGUUUCGACUGGGUUAACGGCAGGGAAAGCACCUAAGUCUUUUGAUAUGGUGUGAAUAUCUUGAAAGUGCCACAGUGACGUAGUUCUUUCGGAAACGAAAGAAGUGGAACGAGGUAAACCCCACGAGCGAGAAACCCAAAUAAUGGUAGGGGAGUCUUCUCAAAGGAAUUAAACGGAGAGAAGGCCGGAUACUCAUGUAUCUGGAGAUAGAUGAUUGCCGCCUGAGUACGAGGUGAACAGCCGUUAGCAGUACGAAGGGACAAAACAUGGCUUACAGGA
This 389-nucleotide RNase P RNA is filed under the name Bacillus taeanensis. RNAcentral describes it as "Bacterial RNase P class B". It matches the Rfam family "Bacterial RNase P class B". From Rfam's summary of the family: Ribonuclease P (RNase P) is a ubiquitous endoribonuclease, found in archaea, bacteria and eukarya as well as chloroplasts and mitochondria. The record is from Rfam by way of RNAcentral. Lineage: Bacteria; Bacillati; Bacillota; Bacilli; Caryophanales; Bacillaceae.